This 253-nucleotide ribosomal RNA is filed under the name uncultured bacterium. RNAcentral describes it as "partial 16S ribosomal RNA". It matches the Rfam family "Bacterial small subunit ribosomal RNA", at positions 524 to 776 of the family's 1533-position model. The record is from RNAcentral.
UACGGGGGGGGCAAGCGUUGUUCGGAAUUACUGGGCGUAAAGGGCUCGUAGGCGGCCAACUAAGUCAGACGUGAAAUCCCUCGGCUUAACCGGGGAACUGCGUCUGAUACUGGAUGGCUUGAGGUUGGGAGAGGGAUGCGGAAUUCCAGGUGUAGCGGUGAAAUGCGUAGAUAUUGGGAGGAACACCAGUGGCGAAGGCGGCUCACUGGACCGGUACUGACGCUGAUGCGCGAAAGCGUGGGGAGCAAACGGG